Carassius auratus (goldfish) is the source of this 1478-nucleotide long non-coding RNA. RefSeq lists it as uncharacterized. The record is from RefSeq and is a predicted model, not a curated record. The transcript has 3 exons. NCBI's taxonomy places the organism in Eukaryota, Metazoa, Chordata, Actinopteri, Cypriniformes, Cyprinidae.
AAAAAAUGUAUGCCUGUAAAUGUCAUAAUCACUCAACUGAAUAAAAUCAGGUUAUUGUAAUUGCUAUACUUUUCUGUGACUGUUAGUUGCACAUGUAGGCUAAUUAGACAAUUAAUCAGCUAUAUGUCAAUACUUACAGUUAUAUCUCUCUCUUUUUCUCUCUUACAGUUACUUUGCAAAAGUUUCUCAAACAUGGAGUCUGACAUGAACGGGGUCAGAUUUUUUUUAUUUUAUUAUUACAAAAAGAGAGUGGUUAGUACUUCAAGGUUGUAAGAGUUUGCACUUGGAACACAGUGUCAUGUGCAUUGUUGUAACUCCAGCUGUGUGUGAUCUUUGUAGAGGUGGAGUGGGCUAAGCGCAGCACAACAAACCAAACACCAAAGCAACCCUGUGUUUUCCAUAUUAUUUUAUAUAAUUAUGCACACAGUUUUAUUUUUCUUGGUGCAGAUAUUGCUGUGUAGCAUAAUACAGCAUUACUUUUAUUUUCAGAUCGAUUGGCUGAGCCUCAUGGGAGGCAACACACCUGGAGAGUCGGUCAGAAGACUGCUUGGGAAACUCUGGACAAAUGCUCUUUGGGCCCAAUAUAGUCUUAAAGGCCGCAAGGGAAAGAAGAAUUUCCAGGAACUGGAAAUAUAUGCCUGUCGUCGAACACACACCAAGGUGCUGGAAAAAGUAAUUGAGGACUUCAUUUCAGAAACACUGAAGUUUGCACCACACAGAGAUAAGAUGCUACAAUCUCAGGCCGAAGCAGAGACUUAACACUUAAUUAGUUGUUUUACACAGAACGUAUUUUAUGUAAGAUUUGGAAUGUUUCAGUUUGUGGAAUGUUUGAGUAUAUAAAAUGUGGUCACAUACUCACACUAUCACGCACACACAUCCACUCCUCCGCUCAUUAUCACUUUCAGCUGUUUCCCCUUUCGUUCCCUUCUCCUCACCUGUCCCUUCUUUUGCCCUUGAUUGUCUCUGCUUCUUAUUCCCUCUUUCUAGCCCUGUCUUGUUGUCGGAUUAUUCAAUGACCUCUCGUGAGACACGUCUGUUUCCUAGUCCUGUACUGUCUUUUCCGUGGAAUGUAAGGUCAUUGCUUCUACUGUGAGUUAUUUUGUCAUUGGACUGUGUAUUAUCCAGCUGUGCCUGUUUGCUGAGUACCUGUGCAGCGCCUGCCCUUGGCUGUUCACACUGCCAGCUGUCUUCACUGUUUUGGACGGGCUGUAUGCAUCUCGGGGUCCCUGCCUCUGCCCUUGUGGAUUUAUGUUGUUUUUUUCUUAGACCCAGUCGUCUGUAUGUUUCUGUUUUGGCACAGAUAGAAGCCUGUGAUUUUUGUACUAAAUUAUUCAGCGAAGACAUUUGCUUUAUUAAAGACUGUUAACUGCACCCACCCUGGCCUUCCAUCGUUCUUACCACAUAACAAAGUGAAAGUUAAGAUAUCAGUAAUGCCAUUUUUUUUGUUCCAUUUAAAUGUACGUUACAGUAUACUUAAA